UCUCCGUAGGUGAACCUGCGGAGGGAUCAUUACUGAGUCGUAAAAAACUCCCAACCCAUGUGAAUUUACCUUUGUUGCCUCGGCGGGACCUACCCGGUACCUACCCUGUAGCUACCCUGUAGCCCGCCGGUGGACUAUUAAACUCUUGUUAUUUUAUAGAAAUCUGAGCGUCUUAUUAAAUAAGUCAAAACUUUUAACAACGGAUCUCUUGGUUCUGGCAUCGAUGAAGAACGCAGC
RNAcentral lists this unclassified non-coding RNA (237 nucleotides) under uncultured fungus. RNAcentral's name for it is "sequence contains ITS1, 5.8S rRNA gene". The stretch from base 189 to 237 matches the Rfam family "5.8S ribosomal RNA", at positions 1 to 49 of the family's 154-position model. The record is from RNAcentral. Lineage: Eukaryota; Fungi.